This 249-nucleotide ribosomal RNA is filed under the name uncultured prokaryote. RNAcentral describes it as "partial 16S ribosomal RNA". It matches the Rfam family "Bacterial small subunit ribosomal RNA", at positions 524 to 772 of the family's 1533-position model. The record is from RNAcentral.
UACGGAGGAUGCAAGCGUUAUCCGGAUUUAUUGGGUUUAAAGGGUGCGCAGGCUGUUUGAUAAGUCAGUGGUGAAAGUAUGUCGCUUAACGGUAGGAUUGCCAUUGAUACUGUUGGACUUGAAUAUGGAUGAGGUAGGCGGAAUGUGUAGUGUAGCGGUGAAAUGCAUAGAUAUUACACAGAACACCGAUUGCGAAGGCAGCUUACUAAUCCAUCAUUGACGCUGAGGCACGAAAGCGUGGGGAUCAAA